UUCGAAAAGAAAAGAAUUAAUACCCGAUGGUAUGCGAGUACCGCCAUGGUGCUUUCAUUAAAGUUUUUCGGGUAAAUGAUGGGGAUGCGUUUCAUUAGAUUGUUGGUGAGGUAACGGCUCACCAAGUCUUCGAUGAAUAGGGGUUCUGAGAGGAAGGUCCCCCACACUGGUACUGAGACACGGACCAGACUCCUACGGGAGGCAGCAGUGAGGAAUAUUGGUCAAUGGGCGAGAGCCUGAACCAGCCAAGUAGCGUGAAGGAUGACUGCCCUAUGGGUUGUAAACUUCUUUUAUAUGGGAAUAAAGUGUGGAACGUGUUCCAUUUUGUAUGUACCAUAUGAAUAAGGAUCGGCUAACUCCGUGCCAGCAGCCGCGGUAAUACGGAGGAUAAAAAGCGUUAUCCGGAUUUAUUGGGUUUAAAGGGUGCGUAGGCGGGUGUUUAAGUCAGCUGUGAAAGUUUGGGGCUCAACCUUAAAAUUGCAGUUGAUACUGGAUACCUUGAGUGUAGUGGAGGUUAGCGGAAUUCGUGGUGUAGCGGUGAAAUGCUUAGAUAUCACGAAGAACUCCGAUUGCGUAGGCAGCUGACUAUCCUAUAACUGACGCUGAGGCACGAAAGUGUGGGUAUCAGACAGGAUUAGAUACCCUGGUAGUCCACACAGUAAACGAUGAAUACUCGUUGUAGGCGAUAUAC
This 691-nucleotide ribosomal RNA is filed under the name uncultured bacterium. Its description in RNAcentral is "bacterial SSU rRNA". It matches the Rfam family "Bacterial small subunit ribosomal RNA", at positions 147 to 834 of the family's 1533-position model. The record is from RNAcentral.